Molecule: long non-coding RNA, 1953 nt
Organism: Asterias rubens (European starfish)
Lineage: Eukaryota; Metazoa; Echinodermata; Asteroidea; Forcipulatida; Asteriidae
Exons: 2
Source: RefSeq, a predicted model, not a curated record
AUCACACUUAACUUAGCAACUACGAUUGAUUUGCAGUUGCGAUCAAUCUUAGAUCUUUGUGAAAUCGGCCCCAGGCUUUUUUAUAAAUGAUGUAAUUGUCGAUUGUAGAAUUCAAACCUACCUCUAAUCAUCAGUUCUCUGCCAUCGGUGUAGGAGUCUACAAGGUGGGGUCAUGGGUUCGAACCCCACCUGAGUAGCCAGUAUAAUCAAUUUAGUUACAAAUGUAUAAUAUCAGUGUACUUAGAUGCUGGGUCUCUGGUUCUUGGGGGUUGGGUUUAAAUCCCAACUGAGCAGCCAGUACUUUCAAUCAGAGGUUCUUGGGUCUUGGGUUCAAAUCCCUUCCGAGAAGCGAGUAGAAUCAAUUUAGUUACAAGUUUACAUUUAUAAGGAUACUAUCUGUGUACAUGUUCUUGAAUGUGGGGUUUCAGGUUUUUGAAUGUUGGGUUUCGAAUCCCACCCCAAGUAGCCAGUAAUUUCAAUUUGAUAAGGAUACAUUCUGUGUACAUGUUCUUGAUUGUGUGAUCACAGGUUCUUGGGUCUUGAUAUCAAAUCCCUUCCGAGAAGCGAGUAGAACCAAUUUAGUUACAUGUUAACAUUUAUAAGGAUACUAUCUGAGUACAUGUUCUUGAAUGCGGGCUCUCAGAAUUCUGAGUGUUGGGUUCAAAUCCCACCUCAAGUAGCCAAUAAUUUCAAUUUUAUAAGGAUACAUUCUGUGUACAUGCUCUAGAAUGCAGGUUCUUUGGUCUAUGGUUUGAAGCUCACCUGAGUAGCCACUAGUUUCAAUUUAGUUACAAUUAUACAAAUACAAUCUGUGUACAUGAACAAUGGGUCUCUGCUUUUUGUGUAUUUGGUUCGAGUCCAAACCCAAGUAGCCAAUAGGUUCAAUUUUGUUCAACAAUUAUACAUGUAUAUGUAAGGAUACAAUCUGUAUAUAAGUAUACAAUCCGAGUGCAGGAACUCUGGUUCUUGGUUUCAAUUUAGCUACAUGUAUUGCAGUUUAAUUUAGGUACAUUGUUCAAGUUAUCAGUUGCUUUCUGGUAGUUUUAUUGAACGUAGUUUAAAAUUAGUUAAUUUUAAUUUGGUUUGCAGUAGUUGAGCUGUGGGCAACUCUUGCGAAUUAUUUGUUGCAAACUUGUUAUGUGAAAAUUCGUUUCGCAUUCGCAGGAAGUAUGAACCGGGCUUUAGUAUCAGCCACUCACAGAUACCAACAUUUUAGGGUCAUUGUUUUCAGGAAUUGCUGAAACCUGGUCCAAAAUUGCGCCUGGUUCAUACUUGCUGCAAGUGGGAAUGCGAUCUGAUUUGUCGUCAAAGGGCUGUUUUUGCAGCGAAUGUUUCGCAGGAGUUGGUCACAGGGCACUUCCAAUUUGUGACAUCAAAAUAUGCAUGGCAUUUGCAUUCACAGGUAUGAACCAGGCUAUAUAUUGACUAAAGAUUGUGGGUAUUGUGGGUGGGUUAGGUACUGGUAAAAUUGUUGUAGAAGUCGGUAGCCAAUCAAAAAAUAAGCUUCGUUCCCGCCCGUUCUUGUUCAGUUUUAUUCGGCAAUAUAAUUGUCUAUUUCAGAGUUCAAACUGAUCAUCUGUUGUGCUCAGAAGCAUUGGUUUAGUGGUAUACAAGGUGGUGCCGUGGGUUCGAAUCCCACCAGUGUAUCAUGUUGCAACAUCGAAUCCACAGUACUUAAUGUCACAAUAGAAUUAAUAGUUUAUGCUUGUGAUUCUGUUUUUUGUGGUUUUAUGUGUGGUGUUGGGAAGACUUGGGUACGUGGUAAUUUCUUUAAUUUCUAGGUGUUAUCUUUUCGAGCUACUUGAAAGGUCAAACUACUUAAGAUAAUGAGACAAUUUUCAAUCAAUAACUAAAAUGUGCAAUUAUUCAAUACCAAAAUGUAUCAAGAGCAAUGCUUUGUUGUAAAUGGUUUUUAAAAGUGGUUUGAAGCCACAGCAACUCCUGUGCAUUUUA